Myotis brandtii (Brandt's bat) is the source of this 75-nucleotide non-coding RNA. The record is from Rfam. NCBI's taxonomy places the organism in Eukaryota, Metazoa, Chordata, Mammalia, Chiroptera, Vespertilionidae.
GGCAGUUCUUGGGUGACGCACCCUGAAUUUGGGCUCCCUCCUCUCUGGUUCCAGGUGCAUCACCCAAGAACUGGA